RNAcentral lists this transfer RNA (72 nucleotides) under Echinaster brasiliensis. RNAcentral's name for it is "tRNA-Ser". Lineage: Eukaryota; Metazoa; Echinodermata; Asteroidea; Spinulosida; Echinasteridae. The record is from RNAcentral.
GGAGAAGUGACAGAAGUAAGUGUGUUUAGCUUGAAACUAAAAGGAUGGGGGUAUGGAUUCCUCCCUUCUCUU